Manis pentadactyla (Chinese pangolin) is the source of this 599-nucleotide long non-coding RNA. RefSeq lists it as uncharacterized. The record is from RefSeq and is a predicted model, not a curated record. The transcript is spliced from 3 exons. Lineage: Eukaryota; Metazoa; Chordata; Mammalia; Pholidota; Manidae.
CUGACGGUCUUUGUGUCGGGAAGAAAAGGCUUCUUCCGUGAAGGAGAGGGAGCCCUGGCACUUGAAGGCCCCUGCAGGCCAGAAUGGCAGCAACUGGAGAACGUGGGAAGCCUCACCCUGGAGUCAGCAGAGCUUCUGCCUCACUAGCUCUGUGAACACCUGAAACUCUUAGUUAUAGCAUCUUAGCCCACUGAGGUCAUAAAGGUGAAUGAAGUUCAGAGAGGUCAAGAGACUCAAUCAAAGUGACACAGCUAAUCAGUGAAUUACUGGUUGUGUGGAGAGCUAGAGUUUAUAAUGUUCUUCCCUAAAGCCCUACAAAGUAGGAAAUAUCAUUAUUAUCUCAAUUUUACCUCUGAGAAAUGAAUGCUACACUGCCAAGUUGUGUACGUCCUCUGUGCGCUGGCUCCUUCUGCUCUGCCCUUUGACCCUGUUAUCACGCCAUUAGAGAGAAAAUGCAGCCUAAUCAAAUCCAACAAAUAUUUAAUAAGCACCUCCUAUAUCAAAGCUGUGUGCUAAGGGCACACCAAAAUGAGUGAGAUAGUGACGUGACCUCUGGUCUAAGGAGCUUACAAUCUGGUCAGGUGGCAAGACAGGGUGAC